RNAcentral lists this ribosomal RNA (302 nucleotides) under uncultured bacterium. RNAcentral's name for it is "partial 16S ribosomal RNA". It matches the Rfam family "Bacterial small subunit ribosomal RNA", at positions 508 to 807 of the family's 1533-position model. The record is from RNAcentral.
GCAGUCGCCGCGGUAAUACGGAGGGUGCAAGCGUUAAUCGGAAUUACUGGGCGUAAAGCGUGCGUAGGCGGUUCGUUAAGUCUGUUGUGAAAGCCCCGGGCUCAACCUGGGAAUGGCAAUGGAUACUGGCGAGCUAGAGUGUGUCAGAGGAUGGUGGAAUUCCCGGUGUAGCGGUGAAAUGCGUAGAGAUCGGGAGGAACAUCAGUGGCGAAGGCGGCCAUCUGGGACAACACUGACGCUGAGGCACGAAAGCGUGGGGAGCAGACAGGAUUAGAUACCCCAGUAGUCCCUGUCUCUUAUAC